This 478-nucleotide ribosomal RNA is filed under the name uncultured bacterium. RNAcentral describes it as "partial 16S ribosomal RNA". It matches the Rfam family "Bacterial small subunit ribosomal RNA", at positions 31 to 523 of the family's 1533-position model. The record is from RNAcentral.
GAGGAUCGCUGGCGGCGUGCUUAACACAUGCAAGUCGAACGGUAAGGCCCUUCGGGGUACACGAGUGGCGAACGGGUGAGUAACACGUGGGUGAUCUGCCCUGCACUUCGGGAUAAGCCUGGGAAACUGGGUCUAAUACCGGAUAGGACUCCUGGCUUCAUGGUUGGGGGUGGAAAGCUUUUGCGGUGUGGGAUGGGCCCGCGGCCUAUCAGCUUGUUGGUGGGGUAAUGGCCUACCAAGGCGACGACGGGUAGCCGGCCUGAGAGGGUGACCGGUCACACUGGGACUGAGAUACGGCCCAGACUCCUACGGGAGGCAGCAGUGGGGAAUAUUGCACAAUGGGCGCAAGCCUGAUGCAGCGACGCCGCGUGAGGGAUGACGGCCUUCGGGUUGUAAACCUCUUUCAGCUAUGACGAAGCGCAAGAGACGGUAGUAGCAGAAGAAGGACCGGCCAACUACGUGCCAGCAGCCGCAGUAA